Molecule: unclassified non-coding RNA, 279 nt
Filed under: Trisetum flavescens
Lineage: Eukaryota; Viridiplantae; Streptophyta; Magnoliopsida; Poales; Poaceae
Description: contains 3' external transcribed spacer, ETS
Source: RNAcentral
CCGACUAUCGACGCCGUGUCCCGUCCCGUCAUUCGUGUGGCUUACGCCGCUGUUGCCUUUUGAAGUGCUUGCGUGCCGGUACCCGACCUACGGGAAUUGGUGCUUUCUACACGGUUGCCUCGCGGUGGACGCCUUCGGGUGUGCCGCUGCGGCCAAUCGGUGCUUGCGGCGUUGCCUCGUGGUGUUGGCAUGUUUACGUGUCCGGUGCUAUCAAGGAAGCCUCGCUCGUGCUGUUGGUUUCGGAUGUUGCUCACGUUAAAGGCUCAUAUGGCCCUUUUU